This 301-nucleotide ribosomal RNA is filed under the name uncultured bacterium. RNAcentral describes it as "partial 16S ribosomal RNA". It matches the Rfam family "Bacterial small subunit ribosomal RNA", at positions 509 to 809 of the family's 1533-position model. The record is from RNAcentral.
CAGUAGCCGCGGGAAUACGUAGGGUGCAAGCGUUAAUCGGAAUUACUGGGCGUAAAGCGUGCGUAGGCGGCUUCUUAAGUCGGAUGUGAAAUCCCUGAGCUUAACUUAGGAAUUGCAUUCGAUACUGGGAAGCUAGAGUAUGGGAGAGGAUGGUAGAAUUCCAGGUGUAGCGGUGAAAUGCGUAGAGAUCUGGAGGAAUACCGAUGGCGAAGGCAGCCAUCUGGCCUAAUACUGACGCUGAGGUACGAAAGCAUGGGGAGCAAACAGGAUUAGAUACCCCCGUUGUCCCUGUCUCUUAUAU